RNAcentral lists this transfer RNA (69 nucleotides) under Hypseleotris klunzingeri (western carp gudgeon). RNAcentral describes it as "tRNA-Ala". It matches the Rfam family "tRNA". From Rfam's summary of the family: Transfer RNA (tRNA) molecules are approximately 80 nucleotides in length. Their secondary structure includes four short double-helical elements and three loops (D, anti-codon, and T loops). Lineage: Eukaryota; Metazoa; Chordata; Actinopteri; Gobiiformes; Eleotridae. The record is from RNAcentral. RNAcentral also lists the same sequence under 1 other name.
AAGGCUUUAGCUUAAUUAAAGUGUCUGUUUUGCAUGCAGAAGAUGUGGGUUAAUGUCCCGCAAGUCUUA